Molecule: ribosomal RNA, 431 nt
Filed under: uncultured bacterium
Lineage: Bacteria
Description: bacterial SSU rRNA
Rfam family: Bacterial small subunit ribosomal RNA
Source: RNAcentral
GUGAACGCUGGCGGCGUGCUUAACACAUGCAAGUCGAACGAGACCUUCGGGUCUAGUGGCGCACGGGUGCGUAACGCGUGGGAAUCUGCCCUUGGGUUCGGAAUAACAGUUAGAAAUGACUGCUAAUACCGGAUGAUGUCUUCGGACCAAAGAUUUAUCGCCCAGGGAUGAGCCCGCGUAGGAUUAGGUAGUUGGUGGGGUAAAGGCCUACCAAGCCGACGAUCCUUAGCUGGUCUGAGAGGAUGAUCAGCCACACUGGGACUGAGACACGGCCCAGACUCCUACGGGAGGCAGCAGUGGGGAAUAUUGGACAAUGGGCGAAAGCCUGAUCCAGCAAUGCCGCGUGAGUGAUGAAGGCCUUAGGGUUGUAAAGCUCUUUUACCCGGGAUGAUAAUGACAGUACCGGGAGAAUAAGCUCCGGCUAACUCCGU